This 953-nucleotide small RNA is filed under the name Histoplasma capsulatum. RNAcentral's name for it is "hypothetical RNA". RNAcentral also lists the same sequence under 1 other name. The record is from RNAcentral. Lineage: Eukaryota; Fungi; Ascomycota; Eurotiomycetes; Onygenales; Ajellomycetaceae.
GCGCAGACUAGGCCGCUCUCUACUAUGUAAUAAUUGCUAUGGCGCGCUUGUCUUUCGGAUAUGCCUUCAUUGGCCGUGUCCCUUUUGGAGUGUAGAUCACCUAUUUCACCCUGUAUCUGCUGCUCUGGAGAUAUUAUCGUGUGAUGGAAGCGGUUCGUUUUGUGGUGAUACAUACUUUUUUCAUACUAGUAUUUGUUAUUUAGUUUUAGUUAUUCUACUCAUUUGUGAUGGUGUACAUCCAAAAUCGUAUCCCCCGGGAGGGGAAGUCUCUUGAAUAUCUUUCUUUCCAUCAUUUCCAUGGUGGCUGUGGAUAGAAUCCUUUCACGGGAGUGAGGUUAGCCUGUCAUCCCUCGCGCCUAGAAGUGGCAGGCUUUCUGUUCAGGAUGUGUAGAAUAUAGCAAUACCUAAGCCGUUUCUUCUAGUCAUAAUGGCAGAAUAAGGCAGGCUUUCCUGUCCUUCGCAUACUACCUUGUUCAAGGUACUGCUAGUACUGAUAAUCAUUCUUCUCCCGUUUCCUCCACAACCCUCGCCCUCACAAUCUUGACCUGAUCAACAGGCCUAUCUUCCGCCCCUGUCUUCACCAGUCCCAUGCGCUGCACGACUCUCAUCCCACUCUUCACCCGGCCGAAUAUCGUAUGCUUCCCGUCCAACCACGGUGUCGGAGCCAGGGUGAUGAAAAAUUGGCUGCCAUUGGUGUUGGGUCCGCUAUUCGCCAUGCUCAAGACCCCUGCACCCGUAUGUUUCAAUGCCGGGCUGAUUUCAUCCUCGAACUUUUCGCCGUAGAUCGAGCUGCCCCCUCGACCUGUGCCGGUGGGGUCGCCGCCUUGGAUCAUGAAAUUGGGGAUGAUGCGGUGGAAGAUAACGUUGUUGUAGUAGCCGCGCUGUGCGAGGGUUGCAAAGUUCUUGCAGGUCUUGGGCGCAUGGUCGUUGUAGAGCUCGAGCGUGAUGGAGCC